This is an RNA transcript of Pseudophryne corroboree (corroboree frog), 7308 nucleotides long. It is a transcript of the gene named SR-related CTD associated factor 8, with no coding region annotated. NCBI's taxonomy places the organism in Eukaryota, Metazoa, Chordata, Amphibia, Anura, Myobatrachidae. The record is from RefSeq and is a predicted model, not a curated record. The transcript has 25 exons.
UUAGUGCGCAGCACCUCUCUGUGCGGAAUGCGCGCCAAUCACUAGCGGCACCCCCCAGCCUGCCCUGUCCCCACCGCAAUCCCGGUUGCCGCCAGCGAGCGCACUGUGCCUGGCAUUAUCUCCGCCGGACACUGUGCUGGCUGCACUACACAAUACCCACAGUGUGUGCGGCAUCUCCUCCCCUCCCUCCUAGCGGCAGCAGCACUAGCACUUCCUCCCCUCACCCCUCCUCCAUCCGCCUCCCCUUCUCCUCGCCGCCUCCUCCAAACAACACGGCGGCGGCGCUUCUACAUCACCCGACAACAUGGAGGCCGUCAAAACGUUUAACAGCGAGGGUCGACAUCAGGGUAUAGAAGUGCCCCUAUAUCGUUCUAGUCAGUUAUACUCGCUCAAUGACUACAAGCCUCCAAUUUCCAAGGCUAAAAUGACACAGAUCACCAAGGCUGCAAUUAAAGCCAUAAAGUUUUACAAGCAUGUUGUCCAGAGUGUUGAGAAAUUUGUACAAAAGUGUAAACCAGAAUACAAAGUUCCUGGCCUGUAUGUUAUUGACUCCAUUGUUCGACAAUCCAGACAUCAGUUUGGUCAAGAGAAGGAUCUAUUUGCUCCUCGGUUUAGCAACAACAUAAUCAACACUUUCCAGAACUUAUAUCGCUGCGCUUCAGAUGACAAGAGCAAAAUUGUAAGAGUGCUGAAUUUGUGGCAAAAGAACAAUGUGUUCAAGAGUGAAAUUAUCCAACCUCUGCUUGAUAUGGCUGCUGGUAUUCCUCCCCCCGUUGUCACACCUGUCUUACCUAGUACUGCAGCAACUGUUAGUAAUACACCAGGCACUCCAGCAACACCAGUUACGCCAGCGAAUGUAGUUCCCGUCAUACCUGAUCCAUGGCUUGCUCAUAUAACAAAUACAGACACCCUUGCCGCAGUUGCUCAGAUUCUACAAAGCCCUCAGGGACAACAGCUUCAGCAGUUGGUUCAGUCUUUGCAUGUCCACCAACAGAAGCCCCAGCCUUCACUUCUGCAAGCACUAGAUGCUGGCCUAGUAGUUCAACUGCAAGCACUUACAGCACAGCUUACAGCUGCAGCUACUGCAUCAAACACGCUCGAUCCAUUAGAGCAAAGUGUAUCUCUUAGUAAGAAACUCAUGGAUAGGUUUGAUUUUGGGGAUGAUACUGUCCACACAGAGGACACAAAAAAGAACACACCUCAAAUCCAUCGUGUAUCAGAAUCUGUAAACAACUCCCUUUUCCAUCAACUUGCGGAACACUUGCAGCAACAAAAUUUAGAACAUCUACGCCAGCAGUUCUUGGAGCAGCAACAUACUCCAAAGAUGUCAGCUCAGGAAAACCAAGACAUGAUGUCUGAAUCGGAAAAUUCUGCUACACCGUCCCAGGAUGACAGCCAGCAAGCAUUUUUGGAGAAAGAAGCACAGGUUCAUGCUUCAUUAAAUAUGCAAGAGGAUAUGGAUAUUGAGGAAAUGCAGGAUGUAACUGAAGAUCUGUUUGAAAAGGAGGAAAAGAAAAUGAUAAAAGAGGAAAUACCAAGGACACGUUCCAAAUCCAGAUCAAGGUCACCAAGGAAAAGACGUUCAAGGUCCCGUUCUGGAUCCAGGAAGCGUAAGCACAGAAAACGUUCUCGCUCAAGGUCAAGGGAAAGAAAACGAAAGACCUCCAGGUCAUACUCAAGUGAAAGAAGAGCAAGAGAGCGAGAGAAAGAGAGACAAAAAAAAGGCUUGCCUGCUAUUCGUUCCAAAACUCUUAGUGUGUGCAGUACCACGCUGUGGGUGGGACAGGUUGACAAAAAGGCCACUCAACAAGACUUGACAAACGUAUUUGAAGAGUUCGGGCAAAUUGAAUCAAUCAAUAUGAUUCCACCUCGAGGUUGUGCAUAUGUUUGUAUGGUGCACAGACAAGAUGCUUUUAGGGCUCUUCAAAAGCUUAGUGCUGGCUCUUGUAAGAUUGGAUCAAAAAUCAUCAAGAUUGCCUGGGCUUUAAAUAAAGGUGUGAAAACUGAAUACAAACAGUUCUGGGAUGUUGAUCUUGGAGUAACAUAUAUUCCAUGGGAGAAAGUGAAAUUAGAUGAUCUAGAUGACUUUGCAGAAGGUGGAAUGAUUGAUCAAGAAACCGUUAAUAAUGAUUGGGAAACUCAAAGAAACCCAGAGCCUGUUGUAGUGAAAGAGCCUGCUCCUGCACCUGUUCCCACUACUACUGUUCAGAGUCCAAUUGUUCCUAAACCUCAAAUAAUAACAACUCAAACCGAGGCAUAUACUCAGCCUGUUGCAAUGCUUCAGAUUCCAGUGGCUUCUUCUGUCCCUGCUGUAAGUUUAGUACCACCUGCAUUUCCUGUGUCCAUGUCGGUUCCUCCACCUGGCUUCACUGCUAUUCCUCCACCUCCGUUCAUGCGAAGUUUCAACCCUUCCCAACCACCCCCAGGUUUUAUUCCGUCACAUGUCCCACCACCGACCAUGCCCCCUCCUGCUAUCAGCACAACUAUUCCAACAGUUCCACGCCUGCCCAUCUCUGCAGAUAUUAUGAAAGAGGUGUCAUAUAGCAGUCUGAUGCUACCUGUUGGGUCCGUUGUAACCACAUCAGCGCAGACUUCAUCUAUUUUCAAUGCAGUUUCUCAAGAAGAAAAAAGGCUAACUGCUGCAGACAUUGUCACUGAAAGAAUGGCUUCAAAUGCCACUCAAAGUACAGUUGUCAGUAAUGCUGGAAUCUUCGGAUUACAACCACAACCCCCUAUUACUGCAACUGUUCCUCAUCUGAGCAUGUCUACUAGAAUAGCGGGUAUGCCUUUCUUGGAUAUUCGUCCUGGUUUACUGCCACAAACCGCAACUGCAAGAUUUGCUUUAUUAGCUCCAGGAAUGCCACCUCCGCCACCACCACCAAGGAGCAUGCUUCCUCCAGUGCUUACUGACCCAACUUUGCAUUCUCUUGCUUUCCCACCAGGAGAUAUUUUUCCUCGCCCUGGUAUUCCAUCUAGACUGAAUUCUGAUAAUCCCACUCAAGACGAAAGUGUCACACUGCAACGCAGUAACAUCCAACAAGAUGGUGACCAAGAUUACCGCUUCCCUCCCAUAGAAAACCGUGAGACAGUUAGCCAACCCCCUGGGAGUGAACAUGAAAAAGAAAGUAUUGCAUUAGCAGGAAGCCAAGAAAAUAAAAGUGUGAGCUCUACUGAAGAAAUUGAUAAUGUUAGACAUAUAGAAGAUGAUCUUGAACCACAGGAUAUGGCUGUUGUGGAUCCUUGUGAAGGUCAGGAGAAACUUACAGAAUCUACUGUAGGAGAAUUAUCUCCUGAAGGUGCACAUGAAGGUAAAAGGAAAGCUGAUGCACAUUCUCUUGAAACUUUAGUAAGUUCUGAACCUCAUCCUUAUGGAAAUAUGCUACAAACUCACCCUGAAGCUCAUGAUAUUCCACUCAGACCACAGUUAGAUGCUAGACAACAUUUUGGCAGCCCUCCACUAGAUUUAUUACUACCAUUUGGUAGACAUCCACUUGAGAUGAGGGAAAUGUUUGGGAGGCCACCAACAGAUGGGCGAGAUCAUUUUAGUAGACCCUCCCCAGGGGGAAGGGACCAUCUUGGCAGGCCGCCAAUGGAUAAUAGAGAUCACUUUGGACGACCUAUCAUAGAUGGUAGAAAUUCUUUUGGAAGACCACCAAUGGAUGACAGAGAUCAGUUUGGGAGACCACCAUUAGAUAUGAGGGAUCACUUUGGUAGACCAAAUGCAGAUGGUGGUAGAAGGGAGCAAUUAAAUUUUCCUCCAGAUAAACUGUGGGGUCAUAGAGGAGAUUUUGAUGAAAGACAACAUCAUUCUUUCCCCGACUUUGGUGGUCCAAAGGGCUUCCAAGAUGAAAGGCAUCGUCAUGGAAACUACCGACUUGAGCCCAGGAAUGUACCAGGCUGGAACAGAGGAUUUGAGCCAGAUGCACACAGGGAUUUUGAUGACCGUCGCCGUUCUUGGGAAAGACACAGGGAUAGGGAUGAUCGAGAAUUUGGUUUCCGCAGAGAAAUGAAUGGCAACCGCUUUGGAAGGGAGAGGCAGUCAAGCAGUUGGAUGCCUCCUCAACCACAAAUUUUUGAAUAUUUCCCAGAGGCCACUACCACUAAGGAGGAGGAUGAUGAUGAUGAUGAUGAUGAUGAUGAUGAUGAUGAUGUGCCUCAAGUUAAUGGUGAAAUGCCAGAGACUGGCAGUCCACAACAAACUGUUAAAAAUUCAAUUGAUCCUGAACUUUGCGAACAAGAAUCCUCAGACAAAGUGAAUGAAGUAAAAGAGGUCACGGACGCUGAAGUAGAAAAUCAACCAGUGGUUGAAAGCACAGAAACUGAGGGAACAUAAUCAUCACUCAGUAGGCAGUGUCUGUUUCUUGGAACUGAGAAAGGAAAUUGUGGAAUGAGAACUAAUAUCAGUGUGGAUGAGAUAAAACGUGGUCACAUGGACUGUUGAGAACAUCAGCCAUCUCUACAGGACAAUGUUUCCAUUAGCGCUUUCUUCAAGUGAAGUUGCAGAGAAAGCCAGAAGAAGAUAGAAAACACCUGCAAGUUCAUCCUGUGUGAAGUAUCCAAUGGAAAACAAAUCUACCCUAAAAUUCUUAAUGCUUCCUGCGGUCUUCCCUCCCUGCCUAGUAGAUACACAGAACAGGAACUAUCUGGUGACUCCGAGUCAGCUGCCCACUGCUACUUAGGAACCACUUGGCAGCAGCUAGUCCAGCAGGAGCUGCCAGCAGGCUACAGCACAGUCCUCCUCCACAACCAUCCAUUGUAAAAUGAAACACAAUUGGCAGUGAUUGAUUUAUAGAAAUAUCUGGCCGUGAAAAAUAUAUUUAAAAUGCCAUAUUCUGAAUAGUUUAUAUAUCACAGUUAAUCCAAGAUGUAAAAUCAAAUACUGUUUUGGUAUGCCACUGUUUUAUAGAGAACUACAUGGCUAUUCUGACAAGCUACUCGUGGCAUAGGAAUGUGUUGUCGUAGGUUAACUGUAACUCAGCUUCUGUUCUUACUGUCACUGAAGACAGAAACUCAGCUUUUAUCAUACUUACAUCCGGGAGAGAGCAGCCAGGUCGGCUCAGUAGGUGAGGGGCAGGACUAUGAUGUGCAGAGGAGGCGGAGGCGGGGGAUUGGGGCGUGGUUACCAUGUUACAUCAUUGUAGACAUGUCCGCUGAUCUGUAAUGCAGAUAUUACCGGCAUACUGCGGGGGGCGUAGCUAUGAUGACGUGAUUCAUGAAAAGAAGGAUUUUGGUGGAUUGUUGCGCACUUUGGGAAAGGAAUAUGCCGCAAACCAAUAAAAAUACCAAAAAGACACUAACAUCAAUGUCAAAAUUAAGGCACAAACAAAAGUUAGGUAUUUGUGAUGAGCGCUGUUCCUUCCCAAGGACGUGUGCAAAAAUUAUUUACUAAAUGUCCAAUUUCUUAAAAAGACAUUUUAUUUUCAUAUCCAUGAUAAUUUGGUGACACAAUGCACAUUAUACAUGGAUUAGACAUACAUAAAACAUGGAAACAUUUAGGUAAAAUGAUGAAAUAUUGCACAGACCCUUAUUUGCGAGCAAAUAGCAGGACAGUCUAUGUGCAAAUCAUAAAAUGGUGGAACUUCUGGCUCAUACCGUAAGAGGCAUGUGGUGUGUGCCUUUGAUGUAAAUGGGGUUCCAGCUGGCAGCCCAGCAACACACCACACACUUUGCCAAUGUAGAUGGAUAUCACGGGUUCCCGGUGAGAGUCCAAGAAGAACAAAGUUCCAUUAGUAGCACGGCACCCAGCAAGAAUCGCGUCAUCGACUGCACGGACCACUCACUUUACUCACUAAGUGGGUGGCCGGGCAGGGAGAGACCGUAAAAAUCGGGAAACUGGCCUGCUCUUUGGGAGCCUCCCGGCCAUCCCGUGAGAGUAGGCAAGUAUGGUUUUUAUACAGAAUAGUAUAUAUAGAAUAGUAUAUAAUUACCAGCAGCGCGAAGGUGCCCAAUAAUGGAAAUAAGGAACGAGCAAAUGGUAUCUUCCCAAUUAGGGCUUCUCCUCUGAGCACCGUCUUGGUAUACAUUCCACUACCUCACUUUCACUUUAGUUAUAUGCUGUAGAUGACAGAUGCAGUCUUUAAAUUGUUUCAUCAUAUUAUGAUAUUCAGGCUUGGGUACACUUACAGUAGGUGGUGGUUACCAGCUACAUUGAAAACAUAAUAACAUUUUCGGGCUGCUGCAGAGUUUACUAAAAAAAAAUGUUAAUGUCGCUGUUUUGGGGUUCUGAUCAAUGGAAAGACCUUCAUGCUGAACUGAUGAGGAGUAAUGAAACAUAGGAAGUUGAAUAGGUGUUCUGCGCACAGACCAGAGUGGACCAACAAGUUGGGUUGACUCUGGACCACAAUCAGUUUUGAACCAGAUAACUGGAAUCCGCUAGCUAAACUCUGGAACCAAUAUGAGAAACUCAACUCCAGGCCUGAACCCCAAAACUAUGAAGCUGGAACCUGCUUCCAGGAACUCAGGGAUCUGAAACAGAGGAGACUCAGCAACCUAUAACUAGACUGGAAUCUGAUAAAUUAAGCACUUCACAGGAACUCAGGCUGGGCAGCUGAGAUCUGUUUCCUAAUAUAGGGACAUAACCCAGAACCAUCACCCAAGCAUCCAUGGUUGGCCAAACCACCAGAGACUAAUCACAUGCCUCAACUACCAACCAGUGGAACCAAGAGUAUGAACCUCCACUUUAGUUCGUCUCAGAAGCUGAUGAAAUUUCUGGUGUGAUGUAUACUUGCUGAGAAGGAAAGACAGAAGCUGAGCAUUGGUAGUGUAAAGCGUAAGAGCAACCUGUGGGAACCUGCAAUGAUCCUAACAAGAGAGUGUGAGAUUCCGCACAGACCUGAUCCCAAGGGAUCUGUUUAUAUGUGUAGUAUUAUAACAGACUAACAUUUGUGAGGAAUCUCAGAAUUUAUUCAUUAGUAAAGCUCCAUUGGUGGUGCUCCGAUGAGUCAUACAUUAUAACAUAUGUAAGGAAGAGAAGAAAAGAAAACUCUUUUUGUUGGGACACGCUUAAGAAAUGUAUUUUUAUUGGCAUUAAGACAUAAUAUAAUAAUAUAUUUAUUGAUAUGCAUUAAAACCAACAUUCCUUCUGCCUGCUAAAGAGUGGAACUUAACAGAAUGUGCAACGGUAUAAGUUGUGCAUAAGAACACAGUGUGCAAAGCUGCAAAAAUUACAAAGUUUACACAAAGCAAGAUACAUACAGUAUGUGCAAGAGAUACAGACAAUGUAACACUUUAAAAAGGGUAAAAAUGCAAGGUAUGUUUCAGCCAAUGUUGUAAGCGAUUCUCAACAAUGGUUAGGUAUUAUCCCGCUAA